This 845-nucleotide long non-coding RNA is filed under the name Marmota monax (woodchuck). The record is from RNAcentral. Lineage: Eukaryota; Metazoa; Chordata; Mammalia; Rodentia; Sciuridae.
GCUCACUUAAGCUCAUAACUUUGAGACCAGCCUGGGCAACAUAGCAAGAUCCUGUAUCAAAACAUAGUAAUAAAAUAAAAUCUAGCAAGAUAUCUACUGUGGAAAAAAUCCUUUUGAGAAUUAUACAGAGAGGAUUAGCAGAAAUAGAAUUUAUUGUAAUUUUUUAAGUCUUUUAUUGAGCAGUUUUAGGUACACAGCCUCUUCCACUAUCAACAUCCUGGCACCAGAGUGGUCUUUUUGUUAGAAUUGAUGAACUACAUGAACGCAUUAGCCUCACUCAGAGUCUGUAGUUUACAUUAGGCUUCACUUCUUGGUGUUGUACAUUCUGUGGGUUUAGACAAAAGUACAAUGACAUGUUUCCAGCAUUUGAGUGUCAGAGUAUUUUCAUGCCCUAAAGUUCCUUAUGCUCUGCCUAUUCAUCCCUCCCCUUAGCCACAACUCCUGAUCUCUUUAUCUCCAUAGUUUUGCCUUUGCUAGAAUGUCAUAGGGUUGGAAUUGUACCGUUUAUAGCCUUUUUAGAGUGACUUCUCUCACUUAGUAAUAUGCAUUUAAGCAUCCUUCAUGUCUUUUCUUGGCUUGUUAUUCAUUCUUUUCAUAGUUCAUUUUAGCAAUUGGGUGUUCCAUAGUUUAUUCAUUCACCUACUGAAGGAUACCUUGCUUGCUUCCAAAUUUCAGCAGUUAUGAAUUAAGAAGUUAGAUACAUCCAUAUAGCAUGAUGUUUUAAAUUCAUGACAGUAUCCAUGAGCUUUCACCUGGGUCUGAUUAUAGCCAUCUUGCUGACCCAGCCUCAUUGCUGGCUUCUCAGCUGCUGCUCUGGACCUCAAGAUGGUUCACAAGCAAUAAAU